GAUUCCGCAGCGACGGCGUGCGUCGUCUCCCUUCACGCCCUGGCCGGCAUCCGGGGCGAGCGGACCAUGCUGCUGCCCGUGACGAUCCAUGGCGAGCGACUGGUGGCCCUGCUGAUUACAGGCUCCACACACAACUUUCUGCCCGAGUCGACCAUGCGUCGGCUAGCCCUCCCGACGACGGGCGGGGAGCGCCUGCGGAUCACAGUGGCGAACGGCGAUCGCCUCCGGUGCCAUGGGCUAGCCCGCGACGUUCCCAUCUCCAUCGGCGGCGAACACUUUUCCAUCACCUGUGCAGGGAUUGAUCUGGGCUGUUUCGACUUCAUCCUCGGGGUGGACUUUCUCCGGACCCUCGGCCCCAUCCUGUGGGAUUUCGACGCGCUCACGGUGACAUUCUGGCGGCAGGGCCGCCGCAUCCGGUGGGAGGGCAUUGGGGGCGCCGCGCCUGCCGUGCCACACCUCCAGUUGGCUAUAGAGUCCUCGGAGGCCGAGCACCCCCUGCUGGAUUCUCUUCUGCAGCAGCACGGCGACCUCUUCGACGAUCCGCAGGGUCUUCCGCCUGCCCGGGUGUACGACCAUCAUAUUCACCUCGUACCAGGCUCCACUCCGGUGGCGGUGCGGCCCUACCGCUACCCCCAGCUGCAGAAGGAUGAGUUGGAGCGCCAGUGUGCCCUGAUACUCGCCGCAAGCAUCAUCCGGAUCUCCAUGUCGCCCUUCACGGCGCCGGUGCUUCUCGUCCGUAAGUCAGACGGCACAUGGCGCUUCUGCAUCGACUACCGUGCCCUCAACGCACUCACGCUCAAGGACAAGUUCCCUAUACCGGUGGUCGACGAGCUCUUGGAUGAGCUCCAUGGGGCACGCUUCUUCACCAAGCUCGAUCUCCGGUCGGGCUAUCAUCAGGUGCGCAUGCAUCCAGACGACAUCGCCAAGACGGCGUUUCGCACCCACCAUGGC
This 951-nucleotide ribosomal RNA is filed under the name Triticum aestivum (bread wheat). RNAcentral describes it as "partial small subunit ribosomal RNA". Lineage: Eukaryota; Viridiplantae; Streptophyta; Magnoliopsida; Poales; Poaceae. The record is from RNAcentral.